GGGUGAGUAACGCGUAUCCAACCUGCCCACCACUUGGGGAUAACCUUGCGAAAGUAAGACUAAUACCCAAUGAGAUCUCUAGAAGACAUCUGAAAGAGAUUAAAGAUUUAUCGGUGAUGGAUGGGGAUGCGUCUGAUUAGCUUGUUGGCGGGGUAACGGCCCACCAAGGCAACGAUCAGUAGGGGUUCUGAGAGGAAGGUCCCCCACAUUGGAACUGAGACACGGUCCAAACUCCUACGGGAGGCAGCAGUGAGGAAUAUUGGUCAAUGGACGAGAGUCUGAACCAGCCAAGUAGCGUGCAGGAAGACGGCCCUAUGGGUUGUAAACUGCUUUUAUAAGGGAAUAAAGUUAGUCUCGUGAGACUUUUUGCAUGUACCUUAUGAAUAAGGACCGGCUAAUUCCGUGCCAGCAGCCGCGGUAAUACGGAAGGUCCGGGCGUUAUCCGGAUUUAUUGGGUUUAAAGGGAGCGUAGGCCGGAGAUUAAGCGUGUUGUGAAAUGUAGACGCUCAACGUCUGCACUGCAGCGCGAACUGGUUUCCUUGAGUACGCACAAAGUGGGCGGAAUUCGUGGUGUAGCGGUGAAAUGCUUAGAUAUCACGAAGAACUCCGAUUGCGAAGGCAGCUCACUGGAGCGCAACUGACGCUGAAGCUCGAAAGUGCGGGUAUCGAACAGGAUUAGAUACCCUGGUAGUCCGCACGGUAAACGAUGGAUGCCCGCUGUUGGUCUGAAUAGGUCAGCGGCCAAG
RNAcentral lists this ribosomal RNA (746 nucleotides) under uncultured bacterium. Its description in RNAcentral is "bacterial SSU rRNA". It matches the Rfam family "Bacterial small subunit ribosomal RNA", at positions 104 to 851 of the family's 1533-position model. The record is from RNAcentral.